GGUGGUAUGGUCUAGUGGUAUGAUGUCUGCUUAGGGUGCAGGAGAUUUCGGGUUCGAUUCCCGAUACCGCCC
Transfer RNA from Ordospora colligata OC4, 72 nucleotides. It matches the Rfam family "tRNA". From Rfam's summary of the family: Transfer RNA (tRNA) molecules are approximately 80 nucleotides in length. NCBI's taxonomy places the organism in Eukaryota, Fungi, Microsporidia, Ordosporidae. The record is from Rfam.